UAACCUAGGGUGCUCGGGGUUGAGUCUUUUACUAUAUUUGGUGAAGUUCAAUGUUCCGAGGACUAGAACUUGGUUUAGAAGCUCAUUUAAGAUUGUUAAUGGUAACCUUUAUCUUGGUUGUGACUAGGUGCUAAGCUAGGGCUCGGGGAUCGGAUCGCGCUCAAGGAACAUCGCUUAUAACUAGCUCGUUUGAAAGCGAAAGGUAAAGGCAAGGGUAGGCUGAAUCGACCAUGAGUUGGAGAGCUCUGGGGGCGAGGUGUACAUCGUCAGCUGCUCGGCCGCCACGGUCGAGAAAUUGUACAGGAACGGAAACCUAAAAUGUAUAUUUUGCCAUUAGAGUGGCUUGAACUAUUUGUAAUUUCUAGAAUUUAUUGUAACUAAGACAUCUAAACCCUAUUUUGAGUCUCCAAGUAUUAAACCGUCAUUUUUAAUGAGAAUAGCCUGUUUGUGACCAAAA
This is a long non-coding RNA of Humulus lupulus (European hop), 457 nucleotides long. RefSeq lists it as uncharacterized. The transcript is spliced from 2 exons. The record is from RefSeq and is a predicted model, not a curated record. Lineage: Eukaryota; Viridiplantae; Streptophyta; Magnoliopsida; Rosales; Cannabaceae.